RNAcentral lists this ribosomal RNA (253 nucleotides) under uncultured bacterium. Its description in RNAcentral is "partial 16S ribosomal RNA". It matches the Rfam family "Bacterial small subunit ribosomal RNA", at positions 524 to 776 of the family's 1533-position model. The record is from RNAcentral.
UACAGAGGUCUCAAGCGUUGUUCGGAUUCAUUGGGCGUAAAGGGUGCGUAGGCGGCGUGGUAAGUCGGGUGUGAAAUCUCGGAGCUUAACUCCGAAACUGCAUUCGAUACUGCCUGGCUAGGGUACUGGAGAGGAGACUGGAAUUUACGGUGUAGCAGUGAAAUGCGUAGAUAUCGUAAGGAAGACCAGUGGCGAAGGCGAGUCUUCGGACAGUUACCGACGCUGAGGCACGAAGGUCAGGGGAGCAAACGGG